RNAcentral lists this ribosomal RNA (468 nucleotides) under uncultured bacterium. RNAcentral describes it as "partial 16S ribosomal RNA". It matches the Rfam family "Bacterial small subunit ribosomal RNA", at positions 28 to 507 of the family's 1533-position model. The record is from RNAcentral.
GACGAAUGCUGGCGGCGUGCUUAACACAUGCAAGUCGAACGGAAAGGCCCUGCUUUUGUGGGGUGCUCGAGUGGCGAACGGGUGAGUAACACGUGAGUAACCUGCCCUUGACUUUGGGAUAACUUCAGGAAACUGGGGCUAAUACCGGAUAGGAGCUCCUGCUGCAUGGUGGGGGUUGGAAAGUUUCGGCGGUUGGGGAUGGACUCGCGGCUUAUCAGCUUGUUGGUGGGGUAGUGGCUUACCAAGGCUUUGACGGGUAGCCGGCCUGAGAGGGUGACCGGCCACAUUGGGACUGAGAUACGGCCCAGACUCCUACGGGAGGCAGCAGUGGGGAAUAUUGCAAAAUGGGCGGAAGCCUGAUGCAGCAACGCCGCGUGCGGGAUGACGGCCUUCGGGUUGUAAACCGCUUUCGCCUGUGACGAAGCGUGAGUGACGGUAAUGGGUAAAGAAGCACCGGCUAACUACGUG